This 342-nucleotide unclassified non-coding RNA is filed under the name fungal sp. Its description in RNAcentral is "partial internal transcribed spacer region". The stretch from base 1 to 46 matches the Rfam family "Eukaryotic small subunit ribosomal RNA", at positions 1786 to 1831 of the family's 1831-position model. Lineage: Eukaryota; Fungi. The record is from RNAcentral.
AAGUCGUAACAAGGUUUCCGUAGGUGAACCUGCGGAAGGAUCAUUAUCGAAAUAAUCCGAAGGGGGUAGAGAGUAGGCGAAGUUUGGAGAGCGCCUGAAGACUGUCGCUGGCCCCGGAAACGGGGCAUGUGCACGUCCCCAGCCUCGCCUUAGUCCUUGCUCUCGAACCUUUCGUAAAACCUUCACACCUGUGCACCUAUUGUAGGUCCUUCGGGAUCUAUGUCUUCAUCUCACACCGAUCGUAUGUCUAUAGAAUGUAUCUAAAACGUCGAUCGGCUUGGCUCGCGCCUCGUCGACGACGGUAAACUAUUACAACUUUCAGCAACGGAUCUCUUGGCUCUC